GUGUCAGCAGCCGCGGUAAUACGGAGGGGGCUAGCGUUGUUCGGAAUUACUGGGCGUAAAGCGCGCGUAGGCGGUGUGCAUAGUCAGGGGUGAAAUCCCGGGGCUCAACCUCGGAAUUGCCUUUGAUACUGGCGCACUUGAAUCCGUGAGAGGGUGGUGGAAUGACCAGUGUAGAGGUGAAAUUCGUAGAUAUUGGUCGGAACACCAGUGGCGAAGGCGGCCACCUGGCGCGGUAUUGACGCUGAGGCGCGAAAGCGUGGGGAGCAAACAGGAUUAGAUACCCUGGUAGUCCACGCCGUAAACGAUGAGUGCUAGCUGUUGGCCUGCUUGCAGGUCAGUGGCGCAGCUAACGCAUUAAGCACUCCGCCUGGGGAGUACGGCCGCAAGGUUAAAACUUAAAUGAAUUGGCGGGG
Molecule: ribosomal RNA, 413 nt
Filed under: uncultured prokaryote
Description: bacterial SSU rRNA
Rfam family: Bacterial small subunit ribosomal RNA
Source: RNAcentral